GUCUCUGUAGCGCAAUGAAUAGCGCAUUGGACUUCUAAUUUAAAGGCCGUGGAUUCGGAUCCUACCUGGGAUU
Non-coding RNA from Trichonephila clavipes, 73 nucleotides. The record is from the annotation of a GenBank genome assembly. Lineage: Eukaryota; Metazoa; Arthropoda; Arachnida; Araneae; Nephilidae.